GGUGUGCAAUCAUAUAUUUAAGGAACAAAAACCUCAACAAACAUGAAACAUUAGACAGAAAUAUAUCAACAAAAAGAGAAAAUCGCUGAUCUAAUUUCAAGAAUAGCAUUACAUACAAUUUGGGGAGCUUCCUUGGAACUUUUCUAAGGUUUGAGUUACACUACCUUCUGUCGAUAAAGAUUACUUUUUGGGCAUUCACGUCAUGCACAUGAUUAGCAGGCACUAUUCACAUAGGUGCAUCAUGCAAUCAGUUAUCCCCCCCACAGCAACUCUGUCAGACAAGUGACAACAAACGCAAUAUAACUGAAAAUGAAUCCAAAAGUCAGAUAUACAACAACAGGCAUAUGGAUGAGAGCCCAACAUUCAAAAAGACCACCACAGACACGGAGAGAACUUACAUGUCAAACAAAUUCUUUGCCACCAUGAAUGCAAACCACAAUUGAUUCAUCUUUAAACUUUGACAUACUUAUCAACAUAGCCCUGCAAAUAAAUUUUGUAAGAACAAUGAUUAAACUUGGUAAAAAUGCAAGAAGUAACAAACUGUUCAAAUCUAAUCUUUCCCUGACAAAAAACAUAAGUAACAAACUGUUUGAAUCUUAGAAAUCGACCUAAACAGUGGAGCUCCGAUCCAUUUAAGCUAGGCAACCAAGUCCCAGCAAGCUUUUAUACGGAAACUAUGAAUACAAGUACUAAAAUCUUCAUAGAAACGGUGGCUUUGAAGGUUACAUGCCCA
Molecule: long non-coding RNA, 733 nt
Filed under: Panax ginseng (ginseng)
Lineage: Eukaryota; Viridiplantae; Streptophyta; Magnoliopsida; Apiales; Araliaceae
Description: long non-coding RNA (PGIN_LNC016382)
Source: RNAcentral